This 85-nucleotide transfer RNA is filed under the name Sediminispirochaeta smaragdinae DSM 11293. RNAcentral's name for it is "tRNA-Ser (TGA) (tRNA-Ser-TGA-1-1)". It matches the Rfam family "tRNA". Rfam says of the family: Transfer RNA (tRNA) molecules are approximately 80 nucleotides in length. Their secondary structure includes four short double-helical elements and three loops (D, anti-codon, and T loops). Further hydrogen bonds mediate the characteristic L-shaped molecular structure. tRNAs have two regions of fundamental functional importance: the anti-codon, which is responsible for specific mRNA codon recognition, and the 3' end, to which the tRNAs corresponding amino acid is attached (by aminoacyl-tRNA synthetases). tRNAs cope with the degeneracy of the genetic code in two manners: having more than one tRNA (with a specific anti-codon) for a particular amino acid; and 'wobble' base-pairing, i.e. permitting non-standard base-pairing at the 3rd anti-codon position. Lineage: Bacteria; Pseudomonadati; Spirochaetota; Spirochaetia; Spirochaetales; Spirochaetaceae. The record is from Rfam by way of RNAcentral.
GGAGAGGUGUCCGAGUGGUUGAAGGAGGCGGUCUUGAAAACCGUUGAGCUGCGAGGCUCCGUGGGUUCGAAUCCCACCUUCUCCG